This 405-nucleotide ribosomal RNA is filed under the name uncultured bacterium. RNAcentral's name for it is "bacterial SSU rRNA". It matches the Rfam family "Bacterial small subunit ribosomal RNA", at positions 29 to 429 of the family's 1533-position model. The record is from RNAcentral.
AUUGAACGCUGGCGGAAUGCUUUACACAUGCAAGUCGAGCGGCAGCGCGGGAAGGGUAACCGGACUGGCGGCGAGCGGCGAACGGGUGAGUAACACAUCGGAACGUACCCAGUCGUGGGGGAUGACGUGGCGAAAGUCACGCUAAUACCGCAUACGUCCUGAGGGAGAAAGCGGGGGAUCGGUAACGACCUCGCGCGAUUGGAGCGGCCGAUGACUGAUUAGCUAGUUGGUGGGGUAAAGGCCUACCAAGGCGACGAUCAGUAGCUGGUCUGAGAGGACGGCCAGCCACACUGGGACUGAGACACGGCCCAGACUCCUACGGGAGGCAGCAGUGGGGAAUUUUGGACAAUGGGCGCAAGCCUGAUCCAGCCAUUCCGCGUGAGUGAAGAAGGCCUCGGUUGUAAG